This 253-nucleotide ribosomal RNA is filed under the name uncultured bacterium. RNAcentral's name for it is "partial 16S ribosomal RNA". It matches the Rfam family "Bacterial small subunit ribosomal RNA", at positions 524 to 776 of the family's 1533-position model. The record is from RNAcentral.
UACGGGGGAUGCAAGCGUUAUCCGGAAUUAUUGGGCGUAAAGCGUCCGCAGGUGGCGAAUCAAGUCUGUUGUUAAAGAGCGGAGCUUAACUCCGUAAAGGCGAUGGAAACUGAUUAGCUAGAGCUAGGUAGGGGUAAGAGGAAUUCCCAGUGUAGCGGUGAAAUGCGUAGAUAUUGGGAAGAACACCGGCGGCGAAAGCGUCUUACUGGGCCUGAACUGACACUGAGGGACGAAAGCUAGGGGAGCGAAAGGG